CACGAGUCCGUCUGCAGGUACUGACAGACCCUCAAUGUGCAGCCUGCUGAUAACACCUCAAGGGUGCUUUCAGGUAACGUGCCCUCGUCUCCGGUCGUCUCUCGGACUAAAAGCUUUCGCCCUCCUGGUGCUGCAGACCCGCUGUUGGUCCUCUUGAUGCCUCAUUUCAGCCUCCGUUUGUCACCUGACAGGAAACGGCACAGGUAAUGUGUUCAAGGAAGAUUGCUGAUCCGACUCUUACUUCCCGUGACUGGAGCGAUUGCUGACGGGAACGCUCGGCAGUCUGUUAGACUUAACCAGCUUUAACUAAUCUUCCAGAUUUAGCUGGAGCGAUUAAUACCAUGGUAACAAAUACUGCACUGUAUUAAAUACACAAAAACACACACGCUGUUUAACACUUUGAGUACCGCCGUGUCGUGCUUGGACUGAGCGUCAUCUGCAUCACAGCCCGCCUCAGUGUGAGUCUGCAGCUCUACCUCGUUCCACGCAUGUUGCUGCCAUCUCCUUGUGCCUAUUUCUGCACCUCCUGUUUUUCAACCUUUUUUAUGCAGAAACAGGAAACAACAGCCCUGCAUGAGCUUGGCGAUCAGUCCAGGCCGGACCCCGCCUCUCGCCUCCCCUGUGGUCUGACUCAUGCUGUUUGGAAGAUAAAGACAGUUUGUCCCGGCAUGAACUGGGCUGCUAACGUUAGCAAUCAUAGCAGAGAGAUUUAGAAAGUUCUGACUGGGCGGCUGGACAGAGAUAACCCUUUGAACAUUUCUAUCCAAAGCCUGUAUAACAGGCUGCUGCUCUUUUCACCUCUGUGUGCUUUUCAUCCUUCAAAUUGGUCUGCGGUGCCUUCUCCACAAAGCCGAGCUGCCCUUUAGCUGCAGGAAUGUUCUUCCUCCAGCAUGCUGCAGGCCAAGCCUUGUUAGUGCGAUUCUCUGUGCACAAAAACCCUUUGAUUUUAGAAUUCAGUGUCUAUAAAAGGCAGCAGGCAAUGUCUAGAUUUUUAGAUUAAGAAAAAAAGGUUGUGUCCACACAGGCAGAAAAAAAUCAAUUUCCAGAAUCAAUCCGGGGAACAGGAUGUGUGGGUCUCUUAUGGCGCUCACAGGACUCUGAAGCUGUUUCCAAACAUGAACUCGGGAGAGACUCUGUCACAUGUAACACGCUGCAGGAAAUUGUCCACCACAGACACACUGCUGGCGCGAUGACCAGCGUGAGCCGUGGAGACAGGCAGGGACACGUGAUGCCCACUCACUGUGAAUUCACCACUUCCUCUUCUAUUCUCACACAAGUGCAAAUCAUAGUCCUGGGGAGACAGCAGGUUAAAGUGAUCCAUGUUGGAAAUUUGUGCUCUCACGUGUGACUGAUGUGUAGAGAAGCUGUGAGCUGCACUUCAUGCAUCAUGAAAAACUGUUAUUGUAGUCAUUAGAAAACAUUCAAGGGGACCUGACCAACAGGUUCACUAUAACGGACGCACAUAUCCUGCAUCAAGUCAGGGUUAUGUCUAAAGCUUGGUCACCAUGCUCACUCAAGUGCUGUAAAUCCAAAAGAAUCAAUCAAAGUUUAAGAAGUGAAACAUAAAAUGAAAAAACCUGAGUAAGAACAACACAAGUGAAAGUACUCUGAGCUCAUCCUGAUUUAAGUGUAGGAGAGGUCCCGAUGUGAAGGCUCGGAAUGUCCCAACGUUUUACUAAAACCUGGAAGGACGAAGGUGAGAGAGCUGAGGUGUGAAUUUCACCAGCGUUUCAGUGUUCUGAUGAAAGUCAUUCAAGACUUUUUUAUCUUAAACUUCAAUAGCAGAACUCAGUGUUAUGUUUAAAAGUCAAACAGAGUAUUUGCACAUACACAGUGCAAAGAGAACUUCAAGGACUGGGACUAAGCAGCUGUGCAGACUUAAUAUGGAUAUGUCUGUACUUUAUGACCUUUCUCUCUGAGUGUGUUGUUGUAAAUAUGCAUAACAUGUGUGGCCCCCUGCCAAAGCUGAUUACUCGUCCAGUCAAUAUCGUUGAUAUAGUGCUGCCCAUCAUCCUGGGAUCAACACAAGAACUUGGUGAAAACAAAGACAAAAGUCU
Molecule: long non-coding RNA, 2057 nt
Organism: Oreochromis niloticus (Nile tilapia)
Lineage: Eukaryota; Metazoa; Chordata; Actinopteri; Cichliformes; Cichlidae
Exons: 3
Source: RefSeq, a predicted model, not a curated record